GCCUCCUUAGCUCAGUUGGUAGAGCAGCUGUUUUGUAAACAGCCGGUCGCGGGUUCGAAUCCUGUAGGAGGCU
This 73-nucleotide transfer RNA is filed under the name Parenemella sanctibonifatiensis. It matches the Rfam family "tRNA". From Rfam's summary of the family: Transfer RNA (tRNA) molecules are approximately 80 nucleotides in length. Their secondary structure includes four short double-helical elements and three loops (D, anti-codon, and T loops). Lineage: Bacteria; Bacillati; Actinomycetota; Actinomycetes; Propionibacteriales; Propionibacteriaceae. The record is from Rfam by way of RNAcentral.